RNAcentral lists this ribosomal RNA (253 nucleotides) under uncultured bacterium. RNAcentral describes it as "partial 16S ribosomal RNA". It matches the Rfam family "Bacterial small subunit ribosomal RNA", at positions 524 to 776 of the family's 1533-position model. The record is from RNAcentral.
UACGUAGGGGGCAAGCGUUGUCCGGAUUUAUUGGGCGUAAAGAGCGUGUAGGCGGCCAGACAGGUCCGUUGUGAAAACUAGAGGCUUAACCUCUAGACGUCGAUGGAAACCGUUUGGCUAGAGUCCGGAAGAGGAGAAUGGAAUUCCUGGUGUAGCGGUGAAAUGCGCAGAUAUCAGGAAGAACACCCGUGGCUAAGGCGGUUCUCUAGUACGGUACUGACGCUUAGACGCGAAAGCGUGGGGAGCGAACAGG